GUCUGACCCAAAAACGGUCUGCAGCUCUUUAUGUAACACAUUUAUCGGGGUAAUAACAUAACACGGAGGAGGAUGAAGGUGCUUCUUUAUUGAGUGAAUCUUCAUCGUUUCUGUGUGAGAUGCAGAUUCCUGUUUCAAAGCGGUCUGAGUGGCGAACAGGAGGACAGUAAACACACGACUGCCAUUUUGGAGUCUCUCUGUGCGACCAACUCAGCAGCUCCCUCCAAGUUUUUCUGCUCUCCCAGAACACAACUAUAAACAACCGAACCUCUGCAAUGCUAAGUUUGCCAAACAGCCCCACACACUGGUCACAAACUGGAACUGCAUCUGGCUGAAGUAUAAUUACACUGGAGAAGAAAGAGAGGCGCCUUCCUUCACACCACCUGGUUUUAUAUUCCCAGAGGAUCCUGAGGUUUGCAGUUUAGACGACUUUUCUUUUUUAAUCUCAAAUAUAAAAGAUGUUAAAAAAAUGUGUUUUAGUAAUGACUUGUCCUCAGUCUGAUAAAAAACUAACCCUGUCUUUAAGAAGCAGGAUAAAUACAUGUCUGCCUUUAUUACUGAAGAGAGAAACUCUCCUUAUUUGACUCAACAUCUGUCUGUGAUCUCUGCUCCUUCAUGUGAGGGCCAACAGAGGAUAAAGACGGCUAAUUAAGACUCGCACUAACGGGUCUGUACGUCAAUUUAGUCUUUCAUUUUUUAAUAACGGAAGGAUUUUUGUCUGAAGUGUCAUUUCUGAUUUAUUCUUUUAAUUUAAUUCUUUUAAAUAAAUUAUUUUAUAAUUCUUUCAUUUUAUCUGACAACUUAUUUUAUGACAUCCGCGAACCUCUGUGUGUUUUUAUUCUGUACUUUUAAAAGUUUAAAUAAAAUAUUCAAAA
This is a non-coding RNA of Xyrichtys novacula (pearly razorfish), 875 nucleotides long. NCBI's taxonomy places the organism in Eukaryota, Metazoa, Chordata, Actinopteri, Labriformes, Labridae. The record is from the annotation of a GenBank genome assembly.